GACGGAGGGUGCAAGCGUUGCUCGGAAUCAUUGGGCGUAAAGAGCGUGUAGGCGGUUCGGUAAGUCUGUCGGGAAAUCCUGAGGCUCAACCUUGGACGUGCGAUGGAUACUGCCGGGCUAGAGGAUGGUAGAGGCGAGUGGAAUUCCUGGUGGAGCGGUGAAAUGCGCAGAGAUCAGGAGGAACACCCGUAGCGAAGGCGGCACUCUGGGCCGAUACUGACACUGAGGAGCGAAAGCGUGGGGAGCGAACAGG
Molecule: ribosomal RNA, 253 nt
Filed under: uncultured bacterium
Lineage: Bacteria
Description: partial 16S ribosomal RNA
Rfam family: Bacterial small subunit ribosomal RNA
Source: RNAcentral